Molecule: microRNA, 21 nt
Filed under: Schistosoma japonicum
Lineage: Eukaryota; Metazoa; Platyhelminthes; Trematoda; Strigeidida; Schistosomatidae
Description: miRNA-3045
Source: RNAcentral
CGUGGACAGCUACGUGAGUUU